RNAcentral lists this ribosomal RNA (798 nucleotides) under uncultured Sebacinales. RNAcentral's name for it is "eukaryotic LSU rRNA". The stretch from base 220 to 798 matches the Rfam family "Eukaryotic large subunit ribosomal RNA", at positions 1 to 582 of the family's 3401-position model. The record is from RNAcentral. Lineage: Eukaryota; Fungi; Basidiomycota; Agaricomycetes; Sebacinales.
UAAUCUCACUACAACAGACUUUUAUGUCUUUUUGUAUGUGGACUUGGAUGCUGCCGUGGACAAAACGGCUCGUCUGAAAUGCCUGAGUGUACCCUGCUUUGCGGCGUAUUCGGUGUGAUACAUCUUCACCGGAGUUAAGAUCCCUUUUUUGGGUCGCGUCAAUACGAGUAUGGCUCUAUGCUUUCCAACCGUCUUUAACAAAGACAAUCUCUGACAAUUUGACCUCAAAUCGGGUGGGACUACCCGCUGAACUUAAGCAUAUCAUUAAGCGGAGGAAAAGAAACUAACAAGGAUUCCCCUAGUAACGGCGAGUGAAGAGGGAAAAGCUCAAAUUUUGAAUCUGGUGUCUUUGACUCCCGAGUUGUAAUCUAGAGAAGUGUUUUCCGUGUCGGACCGUGCACAAGUUCCCUGGAACGGGGCGUCAUAGAGGGUGAGAAUCCCGUAUAUGGCAUGGACCACCGAUGCUUUGUGAUACACUCUCAACGAGUCGAGUUGUUUGGGAAUGCAGCUCAAAAUGGGUGGUAAAUUCCAUCUAAAGCUAAAUAUUGGCGAGAGACCGAUAGCGAACAAGUACCGUGAGGGAAAGAUGAAAAGCACUUUGGAAAGAGAGUGAAACAGUACGUGAAAUUGUUGAAAGGGAAGCGUUUGAAGUCAGUCGUAUCUGGCGGGAUUCAGCCUGGCUUUUGCCUGGUGUACUUUCCGUCCGAUGGGUCAGCAUCAAUUUCGAUCGAGGGAAAAGGAUGCGUCGGGAAUGUGGCUGCCUUGUGCAGUGUUAUAGCCCCGUAUAUGUAUACCUCG